UCACGGUUUGCACUGGCAGUCUUGUUAGAGUUCCCGACUUGACUCGCUGGCAACUAACAACAGGGGUUGCGCUCGUUAUAGGACUUAACCUGACACCUCACGGCACGAGCUGACGACAACCAUGCAGCACCUUGUAAAGUGUCCGAAGAAAAAACCGUUUCCGGUCCUGUCACUCUACAUUUAAGCCUUGGUAAGGUUCCUCGCGUAUCAUCGAAUUAAACCACAUGCUCCACCGCUUGUGCGGGCCCCCGUCAAUUCCUUUGAGUUUCAAACUUGCGUUCGUACUCCCCAGGUGGGAUACUUAAUGCGUUAGCUGCGCUACUAAGAACUCAAGGUUCCCAACGGCUAGUUGACAUCGUUUACGGCGUGGACUAC
This 375-nucleotide unclassified non-coding RNA is filed under the name uncultured Flavobacteriaceae bacterium. RNAcentral's name for it is "contains 16S-23S intergenic spacer region". Lineage: Bacteria; Pseudomonadati; Bacteroidota; Flavobacteriia; Flavobacteriales; Flavobacteriaceae. The record is from RNAcentral.